Molecule: non-coding RNA, 958 nt
Filed under: Corynorhinus mexicanus (Mexican big-eared bat)
Lineage: Eukaryota; Metazoa; Chordata; Mammalia; Chiroptera; Vespertilionidae
Description: 12S ribosomal RNA
Rfam family: Bacterial small subunit ribosomal RNA
Source: RNAcentral
UAUAGGUUUGGUCCUGGCCUUUCUAUUAGUUGUUAAUAAAAUUACACAUGCAAGACUCCUCACUCCAGUGAAAAUGCCCUCCAAGCCAUUACAGGUCAAAAGGAGCUGGUAUCAAGCACGCUAAUAAAGCAGCUCAAAACGCCUUGCUCAGCCACACCCCCACGGGAGACAGCAGUGACAAAAAUUAAGCAAUAAACGAAAGUCUGACUAAGUUAUAUUAUCAAGGACUGGUAAAUUUCGUGCCAGCCACCGCGGUCACACGAUUAGGCCAAACUAAUAGAUAUUCGGCGUAAAGAGUGUUUUAGAACCCAAAAACCAAUAGAGCCAAACUCUAGCCAGGCCGUAAAAAGCCCUUGCUACUGUAAGAUACACAACGAAAGUGGCUUUAGAAAAUCUGAACACACGAUAGCUAAGACCCAAACUGGGAUUAGAUACCCCACUAUGCUUAGCCCUAAACAUGAAAAAUUGAAAACAAAAUUAUUCGCCAGAGUACUACCAGCAAGCGCUGGAAACUCAAAGGACUUGGCGGUGCCCUACAUCCCUCUAGAGGGGCCUGUCCUAUAAUCGAUAAACCCCGAUCUACCUCACCAAUCUUUGCCAAAUCAGCCUAUAUACCGCCAUCUUCAGCAAACCCUAAAAAGGAUAAACAGUAAGCACAAAUAUUAACAUAAAAACGUUAGGUCAAGGUGUAGCCUAUAGGUUGGAAAGAGAUGGGCCACAUUCCCUAAACUAGGGUAACUCUCACGAAAACCUAUGUGAAAACAAAAGUUAAAGGUGGAUUUAGUAGUAAAUUAAGAGCAGAGUGCUUAAUUGAACAAGGCCAUGGGGCACGCACACACCGCCCGUCACCCUCCUCAAGUAAAAAUAUCGACCUCUUUAAUAAAACCCCAAGAUAUUAGUCCACAAGAGGAGACAAGUCGUAACAAGGUAAGUGUACUGGAAAGUGCACUUGGACAAC